Molecule: long non-coding RNA, 599 nt
Filed under: Cricetulus griseus (Chinese hamster)
Lineage: Eukaryota; Metazoa; Chordata; Mammalia; Rodentia; Cricetidae
Description: lncRNA (ENSCGRG00015037296.1)
Source: RNAcentral
GGGCCAGAGUUCAGUGAUCUGCAAACCUGUCUGCCAUGUGGAACAGCCUCGUACUGGUGUGGAUCCCAAGAGAGCUGAACAGCCCCAGAAGAGCAGGGUGUUCUCUGGUGCUGCAGCACAUUGGGUGUGAGCGCGCGUGGUGCCACGCUGGCUGGCCCGGGCACACUUCCAUCACAUGCAUUCUGUGUGGCAUGAGGACGCUGCAUCUGAGAGAGGCUGGCCCUCCAGACAGUCUGCAACCUUCCAACCCUAAGAUGAACUGAGAGGAGGAGCCAAGGGCAGCCAGGGAGGACUUCCUGCUUGUCUGUGAUUCUCUGAUGAUCUUGAACACACAUACCUCAUACCGAAAAUGGACCAUCAUCACUUAUUGUGUCCUCUACUCUUUUUGCUCUUAUUGGUCCUAUUUCCCGAUUUAUUUUUACUUUUCCAAUUGACCAGUUCUUUGAUUCCCUUUUGUUACAGGCCUGAUGUCUGACCCAGUGACUAACAGCAUUAGGUUUGUAUUGACAUGCUAUGUACAUUUCUGUCACUUGCUCUUUCGAUAAGUUUUUUUGGUUAGCCCCUUAUACAGGGAUAAAGCAGCAACCUACACUCUUGCC